This 1092-nucleotide ribosomal RNA is filed under the name uncultured bacterium. RNAcentral describes it as "bacterial SSU rRNA". It matches the Rfam family "Bacterial small subunit ribosomal RNA", at positions 99 to 1201 of the family's 1533-position model. The record is from RNAcentral.
CAGACGGGUGAGUAACGCGUGGGAACGUACCCUUUUGGUUCGGAACAACACAGGGAAACUUGUGCUAAUACCGGAUAAGCCCUUACGGGGAAAGAUUUAUCGCCGAAAGAUCGGCCCGCGUCUGAUUAGCUAGUUGGUGGGGUAACGGCCCACCAAGGCGACGAUCAGUAGCUGGUCUGAGAGGAUGAUCAGCCACAUUGGGACUGAGACACGGCCCAAACUCCUACGGGAGGCAGCAGUGGGGAAUAUUGGACAAUGGGCGCAAGCCUGAUCCAGCCAUGCCGCGUGAGUGAUGAAGGUCUUCGGAUUGUAAAGCACUUUAAGUUGGGAGGAAGGGCAGUAAAUUAAUACUUUGCUGUUUUGACGUUACCGACAGAAUAAGCACCGGCUAACUCUGUGCCAGCAGCCGCGGUAAUACAGAGGGUGCAAGCGUUAAUCGGAAUUACUGGGCGUAAAGCGCGCGUAGGUGGUUUGUUAAGUUGGAUGUGAAAUCCCCGGGCUCAACCUGGGAACUGCAUUCAAAACUGACAAGCUAGAGUAUGGUAGAGGGUGGUGGAAUUUCCUGUGUAGCGGUGAAAUGCGUAGAUAUAGGAAGGAACACCAGUGGCGAAGGCGACCACCUGGACUGAUACUGACACUGAGGUGCGAAAGCGUGGGGAGCAAACAGGAUUAGAUACCCUGGUAGUCCACGCCGUAAACGAUGUCAACUAGCCGUUGGGAGCCUUGAGCUCUUAGUGGCGCAGCUAACGCAUUAAGUUGACCGCCUGGGGAGUACGGCCGCAAGGUUAAAACUCAAAUGAAUUGACGGGGGCCCGCACAAGCGGUGGGGCAUGUGGUUUAAUUCGAAGCAACGCGAAGAACCUUACCAGGCCUUGACAUCCAAUGAACUUUCCAGAGAUGGAUUGGUGCCUUCGGGAACAUUGAGACAGGUGCUGCAUGGCUGUCGUCAGCUCGUGUCGUGGGAUGUUGGGUUAAGUCCCGUAACGAGCGCAACCCUUGUCCUUAGUUACCAGCACGUAAUGGUGGGCGCUCUAAGGAGACUGCCGGUGACAAACCGGAGGAAGGUGGGGAUGACUCAAGUCAUCAUGGCCU